RNAcentral lists this transfer RNA (72 nucleotides) under Marmota marmota marmota (Alpine marmot). It matches the Rfam family "tRNA". From Rfam's summary of the family: Transfer RNA (tRNA) molecules are approximately 80 nucleotides in length. Their secondary structure includes four short double-helical elements and three loops (D, anti-codon, and T loops). Further hydrogen bonds mediate the characteristic L-shaped molecular structure. tRNAs have two regions of fundamental functional importance: the anti-codon, which is responsible for specific mRNA codon recognition, and the 3' end, to which the tRNAs corresponding amino acid is attached (by aminoacyl-tRNA synthetases). tRNAs cope with the degeneracy of the genetic code in two manners: having more than one tRNA (with a specific anti-codon) for a particular amino acid; and 'wobble' base-pairing, i.e. permitting non-standard base-pairing at the 3rd anti-codon position. RNAcentral also lists the same sequence under 1 other name. The record is from Rfam by way of RNAcentral. Lineage: Eukaryota; Metazoa; Chordata; Mammalia; Rodentia; Sciuridae.
AGAGGUAUGGUUCAGAGGUAGAGUCCUUGCCUAAUAUGUGAGAAAUCCUGAGUUCAAUCCUCAGUACCACAC